Molecule: transfer RNA, 76 nt
Filed under: Pelosinus sp. UFO1
Lineage: Bacteria; Bacillati; Bacillota; Negativicutes; Selenomonadales; Sporomusaceae
Also listed under: 1 other name
Description: tRNA-His (GTG) (tRNA-His-GTG-2-1)
Rfam family: tRNA
About the family: Transfer RNA (tRNA) molecules are approximately 80 nucleotides in length.
Source: RNAcentral
GUGGCUAUGGUGAAGUGGUUAACACGGCGGAUUGUGGUUCCGUUAUUCGAGGGUUCGAGACCCUCUAGUCACCCCA